UGGGGAAUAUUGGACAAUGGGGGGAACCCUGAUCCAGCCAUGCCGCGUGCGUGAAGAAGGCCUUAUGGUUGUAAAGCACUUUAAGCGAGGAGGAGGGUACUGGUAUUAAUACUACCAGCUACUGGACGUUACUCGCAGAAUAAGCACCGGCUAACUCUGUGCCAGCAGCCGCGGUAAUACAGAGGGUGCGAGCGUUAAUCGGAUUUACUGGGCGUAAAGCGUGCGUAGGCGACUAAUUGAGUCGGAUGUGAAAUCCCCGAGCUUAACUUGGGAAUUGCAUUCGAUACUGGUUAGCUAGAGUGUGGGAGAGGAUGGUAGAAUUCCAGGUGUAGCGGUGAAAUGCGUAGAGAUCUGGAGGAAUACCGAUGGCGAAGGCAGCCAUCUGGCCUAACACUGACGCUGAGGUACGAAAGCAUGGGGAGCAAACAGG
This 430-nucleotide ribosomal RNA is filed under the name Pseudomonadota bacterium. Its description in RNAcentral is "Proteobacteria bacterium partial 16S ribosomal RNA". It matches the Rfam family "Bacterial small subunit ribosomal RNA", at positions 355 to 776 of the family's 1533-position model. The record is from RNAcentral. Lineage: Bacteria; Pseudomonadati; Pseudomonadota.